AGUGAACGCUGGCGGUAGGCCUAACACAUGCAAGUCGAACGGCAGCACAGUAAGAGCUUGCUCUUACGGGUGGCGAGUGGCGGACGGGUGAGGAAUACAUCGGAAUCUACUUUUUCGUGGGGGAUAACGUAGGGAAACUUACGCUAAUACCGCAUACGACCUACGGGUGAAAGCAGGGGAUCUUCGGACCUUGCGCGAUUGAAUGAGCCGAUGUCGGAUUAGCUAGUUGGCGGGGUAAAGGCCCACCAAGGCGACGAUCCGUAGCUGGUCUGAGAGGAUAAUCAGCCACCCUGGAACUGAGACACGGUCCAGACUCCUACGGGAGGCAGCAGUGGGGAAUAUUGGACAAUGGGCGCAAGCCUGAUCCAGCCAUACCGCGUGGGUGAAGAAGGCCUUCGGGUUGUAAAGCCCUUUUGUUGGGAAAGAAAAGCAGCAGGUUAAUACCCCGCUGUUCUGACGGUACCCAAAGAAUAAGCACCGGCUAACUUCGUG
RNAcentral lists this ribosomal RNA (492 nucleotides) under uncultured bacterium. Its description in RNAcentral is "partial 16S ribosomal RNA". It matches the Rfam family "Bacterial small subunit ribosomal RNA", at positions 29 to 507 of the family's 1533-position model. The record is from RNAcentral.